UACAGAGGUGGCAAGCGUUGUUCGGAAUUACUGGGCGUAAAGGGCGCGUAGGUGGCCUUCUUAGUCAGACGUGAAAUCCCCGGGCUUAACUCGGGAACUGCGUCUGAUACUGGAAGGCUGGAGUUCGGGAGAGGAAUGUGGAAUUCCAGGUGUAGCGGUGAAAUGCGUAGAUAUCUGGAGGAACACCGGUGGCGAAGGCGGGUCUCUGGGCCGAUACUGACGCUGAGGAGCGAAAGCGUGGGGAGCGAACAGG
RNAcentral lists this ribosomal RNA (253 nucleotides) under uncultured bacterium. RNAcentral describes it as "partial 16S ribosomal RNA". It matches the Rfam family "Bacterial small subunit ribosomal RNA", at positions 524 to 776 of the family's 1533-position model. The record is from RNAcentral.